This is a long non-coding RNA of Zalophus californianus (California sea lion), 3211 nucleotides long. RefSeq lists it as uncharacterized. The transcript has 3 exons. Lineage: Eukaryota; Metazoa; Chordata; Mammalia; Carnivora; Otariidae. The record is from RefSeq and is a predicted model, not a curated record.
GCGCUCGCUGGGGGCCGGGGCCCCGCGCGCCCGGAAGCAGCGGGGCGAGCCGUGGGGCCUCGCCGGGCCUGGCGGGCGGUUCCCGCGGGUGGCUCUGCGCGGUCUCGCCUCAGGGGCUGCUGCUGCUUGGCCGACGGCGCCCCAGGAGACACAGCCCUGGCCCGGAGCCGAGGCGCCCCUCUUCCCGCGCCGGGCACAGCCCUCCUGGCCUCCGACGGAGGACUCGCCGGGCCCCGUGUCGCCCUUCGGGAAGGAGGCGCCCUACGCGGCCCUUGGCUCGACGCUGUCGGAGAGACUCUUCCCCACCCCUGCGUGGACUUGCAGCCCCUUCCGUGGCGUCGCGCGGGGACCCGCAGACGAGGGCUCCGCUGACCCGGGGACCGGGCUCCGCGCCGUGAGGAGGCUGCGCUCUCAGAGCCGUUCCCGGCGUAGGGCGGCGGGGCUGGUGCUCCGUGAUCUUCAAAAAUGGUAGUCGUCAUCACGGGUGGUAACUGCGAGGGGGAGAGCGCCCCUUCCCACGGCUGUGAGCCAUGUGGAUACCCUUCUUUUGUGAACUGCACGUUCAGCUCUCUUGGCCGUGUUCUUUUGGGUUGGCUCAUUGGUUUGUAGCAGUAAGUACUUUGUUGGGGACACAAACCCUUCGUCAGGUCUGUGUGUUGAAAACACCUGUCCUGUCCCUGGUUGCCUCUUCCUUUCCUUGAAGGGAGGUUUUUGUUUUGUUUUGGAGAAUAGAGGUUUGUUAUUUUGUCUUUUUAAACGUAGUCACAUUUAUGGACCUUUUCAAAUGUUACUAAUUAUGUCAUGUUCUGGGCUUUUGCUCGUGUCUGUUCCAAUUUCACAGGAUAUUUUAAAAAGUGUCUUAGAGUCCCCAAGGAGACUAAAAAAGGGGAGGGUGUUAGGGGUGACAGAACAGCAGCUGAACAAAUGUAGAAGGAAGGACAGAAUUUAGAUUGCGGCCAUCAGUUUAACAAUCUAUUCAGAUGAGGAUCAUCAAUGGAUGUUAAAACCUUUGGGUGAUAAUUUAUGGGAAAACGGGAUAGUUUCAGGAUUUCACGGUAAUACUCUGCUUGUUCAUUACAUUGAGAAGGCUCCUUUUACAAUGAUGGAUGCCAGAGUUAACCAAGGGAUCAAAUUUAGCAUCACCAGAAUGAAACCAACGGCCGUGAUGUCACGUGUGGUAGACAGAAAGCAUCAGCUGUGUAUCGUGUUUGCCAAAAGUAUUUACCCUGUGUCUGAAGGGAACAAUGAGACAAAUCCAGAAUGUGGACAGUCUGUAAAAUAACGGGCCUGGCAUUUUCAAAAAUGUCAAAUAACAGAAAAACCAGAGGGUCUAUUGAAGCUAAGAGGACACUAAAGAGAUAUUUCAGCGUAAAUGUAAUUUGUGAACUUUGAUUGGAACCUGGAUUGGAGCGGGGGUGGGGUGGGGCAGCCAUUGGGAUAACUGGAGAAAUUUAAAAUUAGAGCACAUUAAAAAAAAAAAAAUAGAGCACAUAUUAGAGUACGUUGUGUCCAUGAAGGGUUUCUUUGGUGGGUUAAUGAUAUCCUGGGUACGUAGAAGAUCUUAUUCCUAGGAGAAACGUGAUAAAAGACGUGUCUGCAAUUUACUUUCAAAUGAUGACACAAAGGAAAUAAAUAUGUAGAAAGAUAAAGCUAGUGUGACAAAAGGUUAACGGCUGAAUCUAGGUGAAGGUUAUAUGGGAUUCUUUUGUAUAGCUCUCUGCAUUCCUGUAGGCUUGACAGUUUUCAAAAUAGGGUAAAAGGUGAGAGUAAGUCUUGUGUAUUCUGGGCUUUUUUGUGUCCACAAAAUAUUUAGAAUUAGUUUGUCAAGUUGCACAGAAAAAUUUAAAAAUCUCUAGGUGUUUUGAUUGGGAUAGCCUUGCAUCUCUGUAGAUCGGUUUGGGGAGAGUUGACACCUUUAAAGUAGUAACUUUUCUAGUUUAUAUUCUACCAUUGAUUGAGGCCUUUUAAGUUUUCUCCAAUAAUAUUUAAUAGUUUUAUUUAUAAACAUCAUAUACCUACUUUGUUACAUUUGUUUUAUCUAUUUCUGUUGCUAUUGUAAAUGAAAUCUUUAAAACUUUUAUUUUCUGUUGUUAUGGAGAAAUGCAGCUGAUGUGUAUACUGACAUACCCAGCACCACUGCUUGCGCUCCCUUAGUAAUUUUAAUAAUUUAUCUGUAGACUCUCGGGUUUCUACACCAUCAUAUCCAUAAAUAAUGAUGAUUGAUUGUAUUUAUCCCUUUCCAAAUCUUAUAUAUAACAUUUUGUUUUCCUCAUCUCAGUGUAUUGACUAGGAAGAAUGGUGUGGAAUCAAAUGUCUUGCUCCCUGCCCCGCCUCCCAUCUCAAGGGGAAGCUGUAACCCUUCACUUCUGAGUCUGAUGUGGACUGAAGUUUUUUUUUUUUUUUUUUUGAAGAUUUAUUUAUCUGACAGAGACAGUGAGAGAGGGAACACAAGCAGGGGGAGGGGGAGAGGGAGAAGCAGACUCCUCACUGAGCAGGGAGCCCGACUGAGGACUCGAUCCCAGGACCCCGGGAUCAUGACCUGAGCCGAAGGCAGAUGCUUAAGGACUGAGCCACCCAGGCGCCCCUGAUGUGGACUGAAGAAUUUUUGUCGGUACUGUCUGUCAGUUUGUGGGAAGUUGUCUUCUGUUUCUGGUUUACUAAGAGUUCUUUUUCCUUUUUUUUUUUUAAGAUUUUAUUUAUUUAUUUGAGAGAGAGAGAGAGAGAGAGAGAGCACAAGCAGGGGGAAGGGCAGAGGGAGAAGCAGGCUCCCUGCUGAGCAGGGAGCCUGAUGUGGGGCUCGAUCCCAGGACCCCAGGACCAUGACCAGAACCAAAGGCAGACGCCCAACCGACUGAGCCACCCAGGUGCCCCUAAGAGUUCUGUUCAUGAAUGGAUUUGGAAUUGAAGAAAACUUUCUCUGAAUGAAGGAACAAGAGGACAUCUCAGGCCACUACCGUCAGUCUUCACCGAAGGCUGGGAGCUGACUCGUCCUGGCCACGUCCCGUCUGACUGGGUCCGGGACAGGAAAUGGCCCCUGUCUUCCGGGCAGGCCAUGACCGCAGCUUAAAGCAUCUGUCUCUCCCUCUGUUCCAAGAACAUCUUCUGGACUCUCGGACUCUGUCAAAUGCCGACCCCCUCCGAAAUCUCUGCACUGUGCCUCCUGGCCUACCAUGUGCUGAGGCUGCUUUCUACUCCUCCCUCUAGUCUUCGA